GGGGACGUGGCCCAGCCAGGCAGGGCGACUGACUCCAGAGGCCACGCCCGGUGACGAGACUCCAGACUGAUAUACCGAGUGAGCGGGUGAUCACCGUCUCACGAUGACGACCCUCUGGAGUACCGAGGCAUACCGGAGAUAUCAGUCAAUCGGGGGUUCAAAUCCCUCCGUCCCCA
RNAcentral lists this transfer RNA (176 nucleotides) under uncultured archaeon A07HR60. It matches the Rfam family "tRNA". Rfam says of the family: Transfer RNA (tRNA) molecules are approximately 80 nucleotides in length. The record is from Rfam by way of RNAcentral.